This 435-nucleotide ribosomal RNA is filed under the name uncultured soil bacterium. RNAcentral describes it as "bacterial SSU rRNA". It matches the Rfam family "Bacterial small subunit ribosomal RNA", at positions 26 to 451 of the family's 1533-position model. The record is from RNAcentral.
AGGACGAACGCUGGCGGCGUGCUUAACACAUGCAAGUCGAGCGGUAAGGCCUUUCGGGGUACACGAGCGGCGAACGGGUGAGUAACACGUGGGUGAUCUGCCCUGCACUCUGGGAUAAGCCUGGGAAACUGGGUCUAAUACCGGAUAUGACCUGCUCUCGCAGUGGGGGUGGGUGGAAAGAUUUAUCGGUGCAGGAGUGGGCCCGCGGCCUAUCAGCUUGGUUGGUGGGGUAAUGGCCUACCAAGGCGACGACGGGUAGCCGACCUGAGGAGGGUGACCGGCCACGACGUGGGACUGAGACACGGCCCAGACUCCGUACGGGAGGCAGCAGUGGGAAUAUUGACACAAUGGGACAAAGCCUAGAUGCAGCGACGCCGCGUGAGGAUAGGAACGGUCCGUUCGGGUUAGUAAACCUUCGUUCAGCGAGGACGAGCG